GUGCCAGCAGCCGCGGUAAAACGUAGGUGGCGAGCGUUAUCCGGAUUUACUGGGCGUAAAGGGUGUGCAGGCUGCCCCUCAAGUGGUGUAUGAAAGCACCCGGCUCAACCGGGUCAUGGUAUGCCAGACUGAAGGGCUAGAGAGCGAGAGCGGGACGUGGAAUUCCGGGUGUAGUGGUGAAAUGCGUAGAGAUCCGGAGGAACCCCAGAGGCGAAGGCGGCGUCCUGGCUCGCAUCUGACGCUCAGACACGACAGCAUGGGGAGCGAACGGGAUUAGAAACCCCGGUAGUCC
RNAcentral lists this ribosomal RNA (292 nucleotides) under uncultured bacterium. RNAcentral's name for it is "partial 16S ribosomal RNA". It matches the Rfam family "Bacterial small subunit ribosomal RNA", at positions 505 to 796 of the family's 1533-position model. The record is from RNAcentral.